UCUAUCUAGGUAAGAACUAGAAAGAAAUUUUCAAACAAGACUCAACCCAAUGAGGAUAUAACUCGAGGGGAGUGGCUCCAUCAAGAUAACGGACUGGGAAGGAAACUGAAAUAAUAAUCAUCCACUAGGAAAUAACUCAGUAGGGAAAGGAGAGAAGAUAAACUUUUUCUGCUUAGGGGGCUGACACUCUAUAAUUGAAGGAGGACAGACACACCAAAUCUGCAUGGGGAAACAAUAUCACCAAAGUAGAGGAUCAGAAUAAAGAUCAAUGCGAUAAAAAAU
RNAcentral lists this long non-coding RNA (282 nucleotides) under Lathyrus oleraceus (garden pea). RNAcentral's name for it is "Pisum sativum (pea) long non-coding RNA (PSAT_LNC031352)". The record is from RNAcentral. Lineage: Eukaryota; Viridiplantae; Streptophyta; Magnoliopsida; Fabales; Fabaceae.